RNAcentral lists this ribosomal RNA (663 nucleotides) under Triticum aestivum (bread wheat). RNAcentral describes it as "partial small subunit ribosomal RNA". The record is from RNAcentral. Lineage: Eukaryota; Viridiplantae; Streptophyta; Magnoliopsida; Poales; Poaceae.
AUGCCUUUUGGGGGGUGCCCUCAAUAUGUUGAAUGUGUUUUCCUUGGCUACAAUUUAGAGCACAAGGGUUACCGUUGUCAAACCCUAUUGCUCAAAGACUGGGGAUCUCCAAAGAUGUCACUUCUGACAAGUCUCGCCACCUCUACCCUUGUCAUUCUUCUACUGCCACCAAAGAGACUAUUCCUUCGUCUGCUCAUGAGCUUCAGCUUACACAGGAUGAGGUUUCUGUUCCUGACUCUCCUACCCGGGUUGAGUCAUUCACUCUCUCUCCUUUUCCAUUUGUCUACUCCCAUCGUGCUCAACACCCUUCUCCCUCUGAUGCACCACCUUCCCUUCCACUCCUUCCUCGUUGGGUCCCGUUCCUUCAGGGUCACCUACUCCCCCUUGCUCAGUAUAAUCCGAGUGAUUGCCACUCUCCAACCUCCUAUGUUGUUGUUGCUACCACUAUUGUUGAGUCGUAUCACGAGGCGGCUGCGGAGAGGCACUUGGGGCCUUGUACCACUGCCUACAGGCAUUAGACCCAUCACUUGCAAAGGGUCUACAAGGUUAAGACAAGUUCAGAUGAUUCUCUCGAGCACUACAAAGCUCGUCUUGUUAUGUGUGGCUUCCAGCAGGAGUAUGGUCAUGACUAUGAUGAGACCUUUGCUCAUGUUGCUCAGAUGA